Molecule: ribosomal RNA, 384 nt
Filed under: uncultured prokaryote
Description: bacterial SSU rRNA
Rfam family: Archaeal small subunit ribosomal RNA
Source: RNAcentral
GCGAAAACUUUACAAUGCUGGCAACAGCGAUAAGGGAACCUCGAGUGCCAGGUUAUAAAUCUGGCUGUCGAGAUGCCUAAAAAGCAUUUCAUAGCAAGGGCCGGGCAAGACCGGUGCCAGCCGCCGCGGUAACACCGGCGGCUCGAGUGGUAACCGUUAUUAUUGGGUCUAAAGGGUCUGUAGCCGGCCGGAUAAGUCUCUUGAGAAAUCUGGCAGCUUAACUGUCAGGCUUUCAGGAGAUACUGUCUGGCUCGAGGCCGGGAGAGGUGAGAGGUACGUCAAGGGUAGGGGUGAAAUCUUGUAAUCCUUGAAGGACAACCAGUGGCGAAGGCGUCUCACCAGAACGGACCUUACGGCACGGGACGAAAGCUAGGGGCACGAACC